This 253-nucleotide ribosomal RNA is filed under the name uncultured bacterium. RNAcentral describes it as "partial 16S ribosomal RNA". It matches the Rfam family "Bacterial small subunit ribosomal RNA", at positions 524 to 776 of the family's 1533-position model. The record is from RNAcentral.
UACGAAGGGGGCUAGCGUUGCUCGGAUUUACUGGGCGUAAAGGGCGCGUAGGCGGACAGUUAAGUCGGGGGUGAAAGCCCGGGGCUCAACCUCGGAAUUGCCUUCGAUACUGGCUGUCUUGAGUACGGGAGAGGUGUGUGGAACUCCGAGUGUAGAGGUGAAAUUCGUAGAUAUUCGGAAGAACACCAGUGGCGAAGGCGACUUACUGGACACAUACUGACGCUGAGGUGCGAAAGCGUGGGGAGCAAACAGG